Non-coding RNA from Camellia sinensis, 1856 nucleotides. NCBI's taxonomy places the organism in Eukaryota, Viridiplantae, Streptophyta, Magnoliopsida, Ericales, Theaceae. The record is from RefSeq and is a predicted model, not a curated record.
AUUUGAGUGCGUGAGUGAGUGUUAACGCAAAUAAUAUUCACAAUUUAUAAAUUGGCUUCAGUUUCUUCAAUCUUAUGGUAUUCAUGAAGGAAAAGAGAAUCCCUCACAGGCCUGAGAUCUGAAAAGCACUUCUCAGAUAGAUAGAUAGAUAUUGGUAUACCAUGGACGUUACUUCUUUCUCUCUCAUCCUCAUCAUCUUCCUCUCUCUCUCCUCACCAUGCUUCGCCGAGAUCCGUUUCACCGAGAUCCGAUCCGACGAUCGGCCCAUCAUCCCCUUCGACGAGUUCGGAUUCACCAACCAAGGUCGCCUGGAGCUCAAUGUCUCUCAGAUCUCCCUCUCAAACCCUAGCCCAGACCUCGACCGUUCCAAGCUCGGCUUCUUCCUCUGCACCAGAGCUUCAUGGCCUCAGGUCCUUCAACAGAUCGAAGACGCUGAGAUCAACUGUGCUCUCCAUUCCACUCUCAUCAAGAAAGUCUACAUUUUCGAUUCCCUCAACACUGCCAACAGUUUCGAUACCCUGUAUCUCCACAAAGAUGCCGAUCAGUACACCCUCGUCUUCGCUAAUUGCCUUCCACAGAUGAAGGUCUCGAUGAACGUUCGAUCCGCAAUGUACAAUCUCGAUGCAAAGACCGAUCGCCGCGACUAUUUAUCGGCCGGUAGGACUGUUCUCCCCAUGGUAUAUUUCCUGUUCUCGCUUACAUAUUUCACUUUGGCUGCUGUUUGGAUAUGCGUUCUGUAUAAGAAGCGUUUGACUGUGUUCGGAAUUCAUUUCUUCAUGCUCGCUGUUUUGGUCAUGAAAGCAUUGAACCUCUUGUGUGAGGCUGAAGACAAAUCGUACAUUAAGCGAACCGGUAGUGCACACGGUUGGGAUGUUUUGUUCUACAUAUUCAGUUUUUUGAAAGGAAUUACUUUGUUUACUCUGAUUGUGUUGAUCGGGACUGGUUGGUCGUUCUUGAAACCCUAUUUACAGGAUAAGGAAAAGAGGGUUUUGAUGAUUGUGAUUCCACUUCAGGUUGUUGCGAAUAUAGCUCAGGUUGUGAUCGAUGAGACCGGGCCCUUUGGACAGGAUUGGGUUACUUGGAGACAGGUGUUUCUGUUAGUUGAUGUUGUUUGUUGCUGCGCUGUUUUGUUCCCAAUUGUGUGGUCAAUUAAGAAUUUGCGCGAGGCGGCGCGCACUGAUGGCAAAGCAGCUGUAAAUUUGAUGAAAUUGACUCUGUUUCGCCAAUAUUAUAUUGUGGUUAUUUGCUACAUUUAUUUCACAAGGGUUGUGGUAUAUGCAUUGGAGACAAUUACCUCUUAUAGGUAUCUUUGGACCAGUGUGGUGGCUGGGGAAUUGGCAACACUUGCCUUCUAUGUGUUUACUGGUUAUAAGUUCAAGCCCGAGGCACAUAAUCCGUAUUUUGUGGUCGAUGAUGAAGAGGAGGAAGCUGCUGCUGAAGCAUUGAAACUUGAAGACGAGUUUGAACUGUGAUUUAUUCCAAAGAAUUCUCAAGGUUGCAAUCAAAUUUGGGGUUGGGGUAGAAGCCAAAAUUUUAGUACAAGACAUGCUCAACACAUCUUGGAUAUUAAGGGGCAACAUUCUGGUAUAUUAAGUGCGUAAGUAUUGGAAAAGUAUUUUAGGUUAUUUCUUUAAGAAGAAGAAUUUAGAUUUGACAAAGGUGAAUUGCAUUGAUUUUGUCCUCUAUCUGAGUUCAUUUGUGGAAAUACAUGAAUAGUGUAUUUAAUGUUUUCUUUAAGAAAUAUAGUUGAACAUAUAAUUACAAAGCCAUGUACAACUACUACAUUUCUAAACCUUGUGGAAGUUGAUUAUUGUCCUACCGCGUAUAAAAUGAAUUGUUUUGUGUUUGCAAAAAUA